Small nuclear RNA from Microcebus murinus (gray mouse lemur), 104 nucleotides. Lineage: Eukaryota; Metazoa; Chordata; Mammalia; Primates; Cheirogaleidae. The record is from Ensembl.
AUGCUCACUUAGGCAGCACAUAUACUAAAAUUGGAAUGAUACAGAGAUUAGCAUUGCUGCCGUACAAGGGUGACAUGCAAAUUCAUGAAGCAUUUUAUGUUAAA